RNAcentral lists this ribosomal RNA (293 nucleotides) under uncultured bacterium. RNAcentral describes it as "partial 16S ribosomal RNA". It matches the Rfam family "Bacterial small subunit ribosomal RNA", at positions 775 to 1067 of the family's 1533-position model. The record is from RNAcentral.
GGAUUAGAUACCCUGGUAGUCCACGCCGUAAACGAUGUCUACUAGCCGUUGGGGUACUUGAUACCUUAGUGGCGCAGCUAACGCGAUAAGUAGACCGCCUGGGGAGUACGGCCGCAAGGUUAAAACUCAAAUGAAUUGACGGGGGCCCGCACAAGCGGUGGAGCAUGUGGUUUAAUUCGAUGCAACGCGAAGAACCUUACCAGGCCUUGACAUCCAGAGAACUUUGUAGAGAUACAUUGGUGCCUUCGGGAACUCUGUGACAGGUGCUGCAUGGCUGUCGUCAGCUCGUGCCG